GACGAACGCUGGCGGCGUGCUUAACACAUGCAAGUCGAACGGAGCGAAUGAAAGCUUGCUUUUAUAAGCUUAGUGGCAAACGGGUGAGUAACACGUAGGCAACCUGCCGACAGGAUGGGGACAACAUUCCGAAAGGAAUGCUAAUACCGAAUGAAGCGCAGGAGAGGCAUCUCUCCUGCGUGAAAGAUGGCCUCUAUAUAUAAGCUAUCACCUGUCGAUGGGCCUGCGUCUGAUUAGCUGGUAGGUGAGGUAACGGCUCACCUAGGCGACGAUCAGUAGCCGGUCUGAGAGGAUGAACGGCCACAUUGGGACUGAGACACGGCCCAGACUCCUACGGGAGGCAGCAGUGGGGAAUCUUCCGCAAUGGGCGCAAGCCUGACGGAGCAACGCCGCGUGAGUGAAGAAAGGGUCUUUCGGGAUCGUAAAAGCUCUGUUGAUGGGG
This 442-nucleotide ribosomal RNA is filed under the name Centipeda noxia. RNAcentral's name for it is "bacterial SSU rRNA". It matches the Rfam family "Bacterial small subunit ribosomal RNA", at positions 28 to 444 of the family's 1533-position model. Lineage: Bacteria; Bacillati; Bacillota; Negativicutes; Selenomonadales; Selenomonadaceae. The record is from RNAcentral.